GAUCCUGGCUCAGGACGAACGCUGGCGGCGUGCCUAAUACAUGCAAGUAGAACGCUAAAGGAGGAGCUUGCUUCUCUGGAUGAGUUGCGAACGGGUGAGUAACGCGUAGGUAACCUGCCUGGUAGCGGGGGAUAACUAUUGGAAACGAUAGCUAAUACCGCAUAAUAGUAGUUGUUGCAUGACAACUGUUUGAAAGGUGCAAUUGCAUCACUACCAGAUGGACCUGCGUUGUA
RNAcentral lists this ribosomal RNA (233 nucleotides) under uncultured bacterium. RNAcentral's name for it is "partial 16S ribosomal RNA". It matches the Rfam family "Bacterial small subunit ribosomal RNA", at positions 15 to 240 of the family's 1533-position model. The record is from RNAcentral.